RNAcentral lists this ribosomal RNA (460 nucleotides) under uncultured bacterium. Its description in RNAcentral is "partial 16S ribosomal RNA". It matches the Rfam family "Bacterial small subunit ribosomal RNA", at positions 338 to 795 of the family's 1533-position model. The record is from RNAcentral.
CCUACGGGAGGCAGCAGUGAGGAAUAUUGGUCAAUGGCCGGAAGGCUGAACCAGCCAUGUCGCGUGAAGGUCAGUGCCCUAUGGGCGUUAAACUUCUUUUGUGCGGGAGCAAUAAUGGUCACGUGUGGCCAGACGAGAGUACCGUACGAAUAAGCAUCGGCUAACUCCGUGCCAGCAGCCGCGGUAAUACGGGGGAUGCAAGCGUUAUCCGGAUUUAUUGGGUUUAAAGGGUGCGUAGGCUGUGAGGUAAGUCAGCGGUGAAAUGCCCCCGCUCAACGGGGUGAAGUGCCAUUGAUACUGCCUUGCUGGAAUGCGGAUGCAGUGGGAGGAAUGUGUGGUGUAGCGGUGAAAUGCGUAAAUAUUAGGAGGAACACCAGUGGCGAAGGCGGCUUACUGGGCUUUAACUGACGCUGAGGCUCGAAAGCGUGGGUAGCAAACAGGAUUAGAUACCCUAGUAGUC